AACGUAGGUGGCGAGCGUUAUCCGGAUUUACUGGGCGUAAAGCAUGUGCAGCCGGAUUGGUAAGUGGUGUAUGAAAGCGUCCGGCUUAACCGGGCAAGGGUAUGCCAGACUGCCAGUCUUGAGAGUGGGAGAGGGAUGUGGAAUUCCGGGUGUAGUGGUGAAAUGCGUAGAGAUCCGGAGGAACCCCAGAGGCGAAGGCGGCGUCCUGGACCAAUACUGACACUGAGGAGCGAAAGCCAGGGGAGCAAACGGG
Molecule: ribosomal RNA, 253 nt
Filed under: uncultured bacterium
Lineage: Bacteria
Description: partial 16S ribosomal RNA
Rfam family: Bacterial small subunit ribosomal RNA
Source: RNAcentral